CCUACGGGAGGCAGCAGUGAGGAAUAUUGGUCAAUGGGAGAGAUCCUGAACCAGCCAAGCCGCGUGAGGGAAGACGGUCCUAUGGGUUGUAAACCUCUUUUGUCGGAGAACAAAACCCGGGACGUGUCCCGGACUGCGUGUAUCCGAAGAAAAAGCAUCGGCUAACUCCGUGCCAGCAGCCGCGGUAAUACGGAGGAUGCGAGCGUUAUCCGGAUUUAUUGGGUUUAAAGGGUGCGCAGGCGGUCCAUUAAGUCAGCGGUAAAAUUGCGGGGCUCAACCCCGUCGAGCCGUUGAAACUGGCAGACUGGAGUGGGCGAGAAGUACGCGGAAUGCGCGGUGUAGCGGUGAAAUGCAUAGAUAUCGCGCAGAACUCCGAUUGCGAAGGCAGCGUACCGGCGCCAGACUGACGCUGAGGCACGAAAGCGUGGGGAUCGAACAGGAUUAGAUACCCGAGUAGUC
This 459-nucleotide ribosomal RNA is filed under the name uncultured bacterium. RNAcentral describes it as "partial 16S ribosomal RNA". It matches the Rfam family "Bacterial small subunit ribosomal RNA", at positions 338 to 795 of the family's 1533-position model. The record is from RNAcentral.